AACGAACGCUGGCGGCAGGCCUAACACAUGCAAGUCGAGCGAGGACUGCGGGUCUAGCUGCCGACGGGUGAGUCACGCGUCGGAAUGUUCCCUUCUCUACGGAAUAGCUCUGGGAGACUGGGAGUAUUAGCGAACAAGCGCUAUUGCGGCAAGAUUUAUUGGAGAAGAAUCAGCACGCGUGAGAUUAGGUAGUUGGUGGGGUAAUGGCCUACCCAGGCUACGUUGCAUAGCUGGUUUGAGAGGAUGAUCAGCCACACUGGGACUGAGACACGGCCCAGACUCCUACGGGAGGCAGCAGGGGGGAAUCUUAGACAAUGGGGGCAACCCUGAGCUAGCCAGGCCGCGUGAGUGAUGAAGGCGUUAGGGUUGUAAAGCUCUUUCAGCUGGGAAGAUAAUGACGGUACCAGCAGAAGAAGCCCCGGCUAACUACGUG
Molecule: ribosomal RNA, 433 nt
Filed under: uncultured bacterium
Lineage: Bacteria
Description: partial 16S ribosomal RNA
Rfam family: Bacterial small subunit ribosomal RNA
Source: RNAcentral